RNAcentral lists this transfer RNA (90 nucleotides) under Azoarcus sp. RNAcentral's name for it is "tRNA-Ser". It matches the Rfam family "tRNA". From Rfam's summary of the family: Transfer RNA (tRNA) molecules are approximately 80 nucleotides in length. Their secondary structure includes four short double-helical elements and three loops (D, anti-codon, and T loops). Further hydrogen bonds mediate the characteristic L-shaped molecular structure. tRNAs have two regions of fundamental functional importance: the anti-codon, which is responsible for specific mRNA codon recognition, and the 3' end, to which the tRNAs corresponding amino acid is attached (by aminoacyl-tRNA synthetases). tRNAs cope with the degeneracy of the genetic code in two manners: having more than one tRNA (with a specific anti-codon) for a particular amino acid; and 'wobble' base-pairing, i.e. permitting non-standard base-pairing at the 3rd anti-codon position. Lineage: Bacteria; Pseudomonadati; Pseudomonadota; Betaproteobacteria; Rhodocyclales; Zoogloeaceae. The record is from RNAcentral. RNAcentral also lists the same sequence under 1 other name.
GGAGAGGUGGCAGAGUGGUCGAAUGUACCUGACUCGAAAUCAGGCGUACUCAUACGGGUACCGUGGGUUCGAAUCCCACCCUCUCCGCCA